This 405-nucleotide long non-coding RNA is filed under the name Homo sapiens (human). RNAcentral's name for it is "HSALNT0399739". The record is from RNAcentral. Lineage: Eukaryota; Metazoa; Chordata; Mammalia; Primates; Hominidae.
GGGAAUUCAGGGGUGAACAGACAGUCCAAGCCCUUGUUUUUGAGGACCUGGAGACAAACAAAUGAAUAAAUAAAUUCUAGAACUUCAGGACAUUCACUUGGCCAGAAGAUUGUACGACAUGGCUGCUCAAACGAGUCCAGAUGCCCACAUACCUGUGCUCUUUGCCGUCAUGAAACUGGAAACUACGCAUUUGCUCCGGGAUAUCCUGUUUUUUAAUUUCACAACGAGAUGGAACUGGCUGAAACUGGACAACACCAUUGGACCACACUGGGACUUAUUUGUGAUUGGCCUCAUUGUUCCUGGGCUGAUUUUGUUGCUUAGAAAUCACCAUGGGUAGGAUGCGGAUCACAGGAAAACCUGCUCACGGGAAUCAGUUCACUCCAAGGUAUCCCCACUAAAUAAACA